Small nucleolar RNA from Lolium rigidum, 89 nucleotides. RefSeq annotates it as small nucleolar RNA Z162. The transcript has a single exon. Lineage: Eukaryota; Viridiplantae; Streptophyta; Magnoliopsida; Poales; Poaceae. The record is from RefSeq and is a predicted model, not a curated record.
UACGGCACAAUAAGGAUUUAUCUAAUCUAAUGUAUCUUCAAAGUUGGAGCACAAAUUACUCUUUUAUGUCCUUUUCAUUCUAAUGCCCU